Long non-coding RNA from Chroicocephalus ridibundus (black-headed gull), 848 nucleotides. RefSeq lists it as uncharacterized. The transcript has 3 exons. Lineage: Eukaryota; Metazoa; Chordata; Aves; Charadriiformes; Laridae. The record is from RefSeq and is a predicted model, not a curated record.
CUUCUCCUUAUGGUUUGAGAAACCCACCACAAUUUCUUGUCCUUUAGAGAACUACUCUCUCACCCGAUGACCCCUCCCCAACCGGGAAGGGGAACUGGGGGAAAAACAAGGACCCAGGAGGACACUGGGGAGCUACAUUGCGGUUCUGUGAUGGUGACUUGGAGCACUGCAGCCACACUGGAGUCCGUGCCAUGGGCGCUCUGAUGCCUUGUCUCCCCUGGGCCCUCUCCUCCUGAUUGUGAUGGGGCUCAGCGUAUUCUCAUCUGUGCUGUGGAGGAAGCUGCUUCAGAAGUGAAGGAGAAGAAGAAGCGUCAGGCAAGGAAGACAAGAGCCCAGCCGGAGAAGCAGAGCUGAGCUCUGAGAAAGCUGAGAAGGCAGCCCUGAGCUGGGGCUGUGCCGGCAGCUGCUGGCCGCUCACUCUGUCUCCUCCCUCUGCAGCUUCUCAGACAGUGGCUGGAGGAGUGGAGAAAUCCUGGCCCAAGCAGGAGAAGCGGGCGAGUGCGGAGGCCUUGAGCCGGAAGCCCCUCUCCCCACGGGCCCCGCUGGCCACCAUGGACUCCAUGACAGACAGAGGCUACUCUUCCUCAGCUUCCUUUACCCUUCCCGGAGGCCUGUCCUGGUGGGAUGGCGGAGCUGGCAGCACUCAACCGCUCAGGACCCCGCCAUCCCCCCAGGGCUGUCAAGGGGAGGGUGGAGGAGCCAGGGCCAGCCCUCUGCCAGGAGCCCCCACAGGAACUGCCAACAAGGACCACGCAAGAGGUCUACUUGACCUCUUGCACAUUUUCAAGGCGUGGGGGGAGAGGCAGCAGCGCGGCGAGCCCAUGGCCAGACUGCCAUGGCCAGACAGC